Molecule: non-coding RNA, 25 nt
Filed under: Arabidopsis thaliana (thale cress)
Lineage: Eukaryota; Viridiplantae; Streptophyta; Magnoliopsida; Brassicales; Brassicaceae
Source: RNAcentral
UUGGCCAAUCAUACAUUUCAUUGCC